RNAcentral lists this ribosomal RNA (451 nucleotides) under uncultured bacterium. RNAcentral's name for it is "bacterial SSU rRNA". It matches the Rfam family "Bacterial small subunit ribosomal RNA", at positions 45 to 522 of the family's 1533-position model. The record is from RNAcentral.
UGGAUUAGGCAUGCAAGUCGAGCGAGGAAAGUGGUAGCAAUACUAUUUAUUCGAGCGGCGUAAGGGGCAGUAAUACCUGGGAACGUACCCUGAGGUCGGGGAUAGCUGCUGGAAACGGCGAGUAAUACCCGAUGAUCUUGGAAAAGCAAAGGCUUGCCGCCUUGGGAGCGGCCCAGGCGAUAUUAGCUAGUUGGUGAGGUAACGGCUUACCAAGGCAAAGAUGUCUAGCGGGUGUGAGAGCACGACCCGCGCCACUGGCACUGAGACACUGGCCAGACACCUACGGGUGGCUGCAGUCGAGAAUCUUCGGCAAUGAGCGCAAGCUUGACCGAGCGACGCCGCGUGCGGGAUGAAGGCCUUCGGGUUGUAAACCGCUUUGGUCCGAGAGAAAGGGAAACUUGAUCGAUCGGAGAAACAAGGACGGGCUAAGUUCGUGCCAGCAGCCGCGGUA